RNAcentral lists this long non-coding RNA (368 nucleotides) under Daucus carota (carrot). RNAcentral's name for it is "long non-coding RNA (DCAR_LNC006217)". The record is from RNAcentral. Lineage: Eukaryota; Viridiplantae; Streptophyta; Magnoliopsida; Apiales; Apiaceae.
AGCAUCUCCAAUGUGAGGUGCCAACCAAAGUUGCUAAACAUGCUUAUUCAUCAAAAAUAUCAAUAUUUUAUUUUCUCUUUCUUUUAAGUUACUUUUGGCACCCCUCUUAUCAAUAUUCACUCCAAUGGUUGGCAACUAAAGUUGUCAAAAAUACUAUAAUUUUGUUUAUCUAAAAUUAGAUAGGAUAUUAUAGGCUUUUAUGACAAUAAAUGAAUUUUUCCCAUUUUGGGAGGGUGCCAAAGGGUGCCAAAAAUUGGCAACUUUGCUUGGCACCCCUAUCACUCCAAUGGGUAGCCAAAAAGAUUGUUAUGCCAUGUCAUGCCACAUGGCAUUUUGGCACCUCUCUUGGCACCCCCAUUGGAGAUGCU